UAUGACUCUCGGCAAUGGAUAUCUUGGCUCUUGCAUCGAUGAAGAGCGCAGCGAAAUGCGAUACGUGGUGUGAAUUGCAGAAUCCCGUGAACCAUCAAAUAUUUGAACGCAAGUUGCGCCCGAGGCCAAUUGGCUAAGGGCACGUCCGCCUGGGCGUCAAGCAUU
Molecule: ribosomal RNA, 165 nt
Filed under: Cheirostylis cochinchinensis
Lineage: Eukaryota; Viridiplantae; Streptophyta; Magnoliopsida; Asparagales; Orchidaceae
Description: 5.8S ribosomal RNA
Rfam family: 5.8S ribosomal RNA
About the family: 5.8S ribosomal RNA (5.8S rRNA) is a component of the large subunit of the eukaryotic ribosome. It is transcribed by RNA polymerase I as part of the 45S precursor that also contains 18S and 28S rRNA.
Source: RNAcentral